Long non-coding RNA from Acanthochromis polyacanthus (spiny chromis), 399 nucleotides. RefSeq lists it as uncharacterized. The record is from RefSeq and is a predicted model, not a curated record. The transcript is spliced from 3 exons. Lineage: Eukaryota; Metazoa; Chordata; Actinopteri; Pomacentridae.
GCUGCCUCUCACGGGUCAGGGUGAGAAUGCAGAAAUCAGACUAUUCCUACGUCCAAAGAUGUAAUCCUGUGGAGUUAACAAAAUGAAGGACUGCGUUCACCGUCCAAAACACUGUAUUACUCCUGAAUGGAAGCAGAGCACAGCCAGAGGAGGAGCUACACAACUGAAUAUGAAAGGCUUCAUGUUGGAGCUGAAGAGCUGCUGUGUUCUCUCUGUUGUUCAUUCAGUACAAAUGAAAAUAAUGUUACUGCUUCUCAUCUGGAUGAUGAUCGUCUCCUUUCAAACUGGAUCCUCUGAGGAUGUUCUAACUCCAUUUAAAGAUGUAUUGAUGGCUUUGGAAGGAGAAUCUGUGACUCUCUCCUGUAAUUAUUCAGGCUCGGUUGACUACCUCUACUGGUA